UGGGGAAUAUUGGACAAUGGGGGGAACCCUGAUCCAGCCAUGCCGCGUGUGUGAAGAAGGCCUUAUGGUUGUAAAGCACUUUAAGCGAGGAGGAGGGUACUGGUAUUAAUACUACCAGCUACUGGACGUUACUCGCAGAAUAAGCACCGGCUAACUCUGUGCCAGCAGCCGCGGUAAUACAGAGGGUGCGAGCGUUAAUCGGAUUUACUGGGCGUAAAGCGUGCGUAGGCGGCUAAUUGAGUCGGAUGUGAAAUCCCCGAGCUUAACUUGGGAAUUGCAUUAGAUACUGGUUAGCUAGAGUGUGGGAGAGGAUGGUAGAAUUCCAGGUGUAGCGGUGAAAUGCGUAGAGAUCUGGAGGAAUACCGAUGGCGAAGGCAGCCAUCUGGCCUAACACUGACGCUGAGGUACGAAAGCAUGGGGAGCAAACAGG
RNAcentral lists this ribosomal RNA (430 nucleotides) under Pseudomonadota bacterium. RNAcentral describes it as "Proteobacteria bacterium partial 16S ribosomal RNA". It matches the Rfam family "Bacterial small subunit ribosomal RNA", at positions 355 to 776 of the family's 1533-position model. Lineage: Bacteria; Pseudomonadati; Pseudomonadota. The record is from RNAcentral.